GCUCACCUGACGAAUCUUAAAUAGGACGAAACGCGUGUCCUGGGU
Molecule: non-coding RNA, 45 nt
Filed under: Schistosoma margrebowiei
Lineage: Eukaryota; Metazoa; Platyhelminthes; Trematoda; Strigeidida; Schistosomatidae
Source: RNAcentral